This 497-nucleotide ribosomal RNA is filed under the name uncultured bacterium. Its description in RNAcentral is "partial 16S ribosomal RNA". It matches the Rfam family "Bacterial small subunit ribosomal RNA", at positions 28 to 507 of the family's 1533-position model. The record is from RNAcentral.
GAUGAACGCUGGCGGCGUGCCUAAUACAUGCAAGUCGAGCGAACAGACGAGGAGCUUGCUCCUCUGACGUUAGCGGCGGACGGGUGAGUAACACGUGGAUAACCUACCUAUAAGACUGGGAUAACUUCGGGAAACCGAAGCUAAUACCGGAUAAUAUAUUGAACCGCAUGGUUCAAUAGUGAAAGACGGUUUUGCUGUCACUUAUAGAUGGAUCCGCGCCGCAUUAGCUAGUUGGUAAGGUAACGGCUUACCAAGGCAACGAUGCGUAGCCGACCUGAGAGGGUGAUCGGCCACACUGGAACUGAGACACGGUCCAGACUCCUACGGGAGGCAGCAGUAGGGGAUCUUCCGCAAAGGGCGAAAGCCUGACGGAGCAACGCCGCGUGAGUGAUGAAGGUCUUCGGAUCGUAAAACUCUGUUAUUAGGGAAGAACAAAUGUGUAAGUAACUAUGCACGUCUUGACGGUACCUAAUCAGAAAGCCACGGCUAACUACGUG